CGGGGGUGGCUCCAGCGGGCCUCAGCCAUGGUGCAGGGCUCGCACUAACUCGUGCCCCCGAGAUUGCUUGCAAAUUGCUAGGCCGGAAUACGGCAAAGUCGGGGCGCCCCAGGCCCUCUGCCACCCUCGGUGCCCCGCCAAGGCACUUCCUCCACCCUGCACCACCCUCUGGGACACAAAGAACUGUCCCUUUUGAAAGCAUGCCUCCAACGCCGCCGCAAGAGACCGUUGCUCCAACUUGGACGGGCCCGGGGAGGGGACUCUUCUGUUUUUAUGUACCACCCCCCCCACCCCCGGCUUUGCUCACGCGCCGUCUCUCACUCAACAUUUAGAAGGAAAGUGGAGGAAAAGCCACGGAGUGCGAGCAGAAAACCUGAUUUGUCGCCCGUUCUGUUCUGUUAACCGCUAAGCAAUUUUACUCAAACCCCUCCCUCGGUCAUUUUUUUGCCUCUCAAUUUGCGUUAGCUCGUGAAUUUCGAAAAUAGACGUUACUGUUCACCGAAGUUAAACUCAAAAGUUUGAGAAACUCGAGCCCAGAGAGUUUAGAUGUUUAGGUAAAGCACAAAAUCGAAUGAUCCUGUGAUUUUUUUUCCCCACCGGAGAUUCGGGCCACGCCGGCACCCCACCCCCACCCGCCCUCGGUAGGUGGCGACCACGGCACUUUUUCCAGCCUCCCGGUCUUUGUCGCUCGAAAUAAAACUUUGCGAGCAGCCAGUCUUUUGAUGUAAGUUCAAAACCUUUCCUUUGAAUUUGGGUUCACGGAUUGGCGUUCCCCGUCUUCUUUCUUCCAUAGACUGCACUCAUGAAGCCUCACCUAGAAUUUCCAUGUUGGAUUUCUUUAAAAUAAAUGGAAAAUUUAAAGAUCACUGCGAGGCAAUGUGAUGACAGAAGACUUCUACUUUUUUAUGAUUUCCCCUGCAAUCUUUUACAGUCAUUUUGGGCUCACCUAAUUCGAUUGUGACUUAUCAAGUCUCUCUACAGCAUUAAUUUAGUUUUCAUAAGAACAGUGUUCUUUUUGCACUCAUAUUUCAUUAACGUUUUGGAAUAUUUAAUUGAAUUCCAUAUUCCCAAUACCAAGUACAACUGACAUAUAUUCAGGAGCAAGUGUAACUCUUGAGAAGCCUACAACUUAGCUGGUAAGAGCUGCCAGCCUACAAGCUGCAAACGUUCAGCUGCUGUAGACAUGGGCCGUCAACAACCACCUGUGGUGGGUGUGUAGCACCUCUGCAUAUACUAAAAAGGCUCAGAGGUUAAGUUACUUAGCCAAGGAUACACAGGUGGCAAAAUGCAGACUCUAAUCUACAUCAACCUGUGUCCGAGCCAGAAUGCCCGACUGCUGCUGUCUGGCUGUAGGCCACAGCCAUCUCAUCCAGGCGGUGUGGCAAGUGAAGCAAGUGCAAGAAAUUGAGAAGCUGAUCCUAAGAUUCAUAUGGAAAUGUAAGGAAUCUAGACUAGCCAAGACAAUCUAGAAAAAGAAAAACUAAUUUGGAGGAUCACUACUUCCUGAUUUCAAAACUACUGCAAAGUUAUAGUAAUCGACAGAGUGCUAUCCUGGCAUAAGGAUAGACAUAUAGAUGAAUGGAAUGGAAUUGAGAUGCUGGAAAUAAACUCUCACUUUUAUGGUCAAUUGAUCUUCAACAAGGGUGCCAAGACGAUUCAAUGGGGAAAGAUUAGUCUUUUCAACAAAUGGGACUGGAAUAAUUGUAUGAAAUUAGAUCCCUAUUUCACAACAUUGACACAAAUAAUCAAUAACUGAUCUAUAGAUAAGAAAGAUAUGGGACCGGCUGGUGGUGUAGCAGUUAAGUUCAUGCAGUCUGCUUCAGCAGA
This is a long non-coding RNA of Diceros bicornis minor, 1827 nucleotides long. RefSeq lists it as uncharacterized. NCBI's taxonomy places the organism in Eukaryota, Metazoa, Chordata, Mammalia, Perissodactyla, Rhinocerotidae. The record is from RefSeq and is a predicted model, not a curated record. The transcript has 3 exons.